Molecule: ribosomal RNA, 254 nt
Filed under: uncultured bacterium
Lineage: Bacteria
Description: partial 16S ribosomal RNA
Rfam family: Bacterial small subunit ribosomal RNA
Source: RNAcentral
CUUUCUUUGCUGGCGACCGGCGCACGGGUGAGUAACACGUAUCCAACCUGCCCUUUACUCGGGGAUAGCCUUUCAAAAGAAAGAUUAAUACCCGAUAGUAUAAUGAUUCCGCAUGGUUUCAUUAUUAAAGGAUUCCGGUAAAGGAUGGGGAUGCGUUCCAUUAGGUUGUUGGUGAGGUAACGGCUCACCAAGCCUUCGAUGGAUAGGGGUUCUGAGAGGAAGGUCCCCCACAUUGGAACUGAGACACGGUCCAA